AUGCACUCGGGAACUCUGGAGAGAGUGAACACACCGAGGAAACGGUCUUUAUCUCGGGGAAUGAGUGAGGAUGAGUCACUUCGACACAUAAUAAAAGAGGCAGAGAGCUCUGCCAGACGCCUGUCACGCGCAGAUAGUCGGGUGGGCUCUAUCAAGAAGCUGGACAGAGGAGAAAGUCAGAGUGAAGAGGACUUGGUUACAAGGAUUCCUGAAAUGCUGGACCUCCAGGAGGCGUACAAUGAAGCGAUGCAGGAUGUUCGACAACUGGAGCUCCAUCGAGAGGUGCUGAUUUUUCAGGUUGGCUGCCUGCAGGAUGCCCUCGAAGGGGCGGAAGAGAUGCUUGCCGAAGCACAAAGGGAAGCCAGCGACGCUAAUUUGGAGCUGGAGCGAGAGAGGCUGGCGAAGAGAAACCUGGAAGUCAAAGUGGACUCACUCAUGCAGGAGUUGGAGAAACUAAGACAGGAGUGUGGCGUAGUGCGAGGGAUAGACAGUUCCGGUGGCAUGGAGAAUGUUUCUCCGGAGAGGAUGACCAUAUCAACAGUCCCUGUUGACAUCCAAGUCAGGAAUUCAGAACAGGAAAGCAACGUUGAUGUGACAGAUGAGGGGAUGAGGGAAGAGGGUGAUAGCAGAGGGCCUUUGACUCUAAAUGAGGAUCUGAAGAAUAGGAUAUCUGCAGAAGAAGCUCUGCUCUCCAUUGUACACCUGGAUAAUACCCCAAGUCCCUCAAGCCUUAUACCUGUAGAAGGAGUAAAUGAGACUCCAGAGAAGAUGUCAUCAAAGAAAGCUCCUGAUGGUGUGUUCAGUUCCUUCCUCAGGAAACGAAACGAAGAACAGUCCCCAAUGGAAGAAAGCAGUUCACACCCACCUCCACUUGGCUCAUCUCAUCUGGAGUCAUCUGUGGACUCAGAGGAGGCUGACAAUGAAAAGGAGAGUAAAAAUGCUGAAGAAACAAAGGUGAACAUUGAAAGCCCACUUGCUAAAUUUCAGAGAAUAGUCAACAAGACCUUUGCUCAGAUGUCUUCUUUAGCUAUUACUACCAGCCCUUCACAGGAUGGGAUCUUCAGGAGUGCUUCUGUAAGUCAAGGGAACUUGUUGUCAAACAAAAAAGUGAUGAGGGACACUACUCCAGAACAGACUGAUGCUGUGCCCCAUGUAGAUGCCCUGUCGGAUGCCCAGUCUGAAACACUGGAAAAUACACCCGAUGUUGACACAUCAUUAACGCAGCCCAAACUACAUGAGGAACCAGACCCUGCUAAAGUGGGCAAUGAAGAUAAUGGGGCAGGUGUUCCCUACACUGUACCUGAAGAGCCUUUGGGCCAAAAACAUGAUAUUGACAGCAGGGAUCCUAAGAACCCCGAUUCCUGUACUCUGUCCUGA
This 1377-nucleotide long non-coding RNA is filed under the name Scleropages formosus (Asian bonytongue). Its description in RNAcentral is "lncRNA (ENSSFOG00015030460.1)". Lineage: Eukaryota; Metazoa; Chordata; Actinopteri; Osteoglossiformes; Osteoglossidae. The record is from RNAcentral.